RNAcentral lists this ribosomal RNA (253 nucleotides) under uncultured bacterium. RNAcentral describes it as "partial 16S ribosomal RNA". It matches the Rfam family "Bacterial small subunit ribosomal RNA", at positions 524 to 776 of the family's 1533-position model. The record is from RNAcentral.
UACGAAGGGGGCUAGCGUUGCUCGGAAUCACUGGGCGUAAAGCGCACGUAGGCGGAUCUUUAAGUCAGGGGUGAAAUCCUGGAGCUCAACUCCAGAACUGCCUUUGAUACUGGGGAUCUCGAGUCCGGAAGAGGUGAGUGGAACUCCGAGUGUAGAGGUGAAAUUCGUAGAUAUUCGGAAGAACACCAGUGGCGAAGGCGGCUCACUGGUCCGGUACUGACGCUGAGGUGCGAAAGCGUGGGGAGUAAACAGG